AACGAACGCUGGCGGCAGGCUUAACACAUGCAAGUCGAACGCCCCGCAAGGGGAGUGGCAGACGGGUGAGUAACGCGUGGGAACAUACCCUUUUCUACGGAAUAGCUCUGGGAAACUGGAAUUAAUACCGUAUACGCCCUACGGGGGAAAGAUUUAUCGGGGAAGGAUUGGCCCGCGUUGGAUUGGCUAGUUGGUGGGGUAAAGGCCUACCAAGGCGACGAUCCAUAGCUGGUCUGAGAGGAUGAUCAGCCACAUUGGGACUGAGACACGGCCCAAACUCCUACGGGAGGCAGCAGUGGGGAAUAUUGGACAAUGGGCGCAAGCCUGAUCCAGCCAUGCCGCGUGAGUGAUGAAGGCCUUAGGGUUGUAAAGCUCUUUCACCGAUGAAGAUAAUGACGGUAGUCGGAGAAGAAGCCCCGGCUAACUUCGUG
Molecule: ribosomal RNA, 431 nt
Filed under: uncultured bacterium
Lineage: Bacteria
Description: partial 16S ribosomal RNA
Rfam family: Bacterial small subunit ribosomal RNA
Source: RNAcentral